AGUUCGACGGGGUCGACGGCGCGCGUCACGACUAGGUAGUCGCGCAUCACGAUGCCGUGCCGGUUUUC
Rhodococcus sp. WMMA185 is the source of this 68-nucleotide small RNA. It matches the Rfam family "ASdes TB sRNA". NCBI's taxonomy places the organism in Bacteria, Bacillati, Actinomycetota, Actinomycetes, Mycobacteriales, Nocardiaceae. The record is from Rfam.